Molecule: ribosomal RNA, 502 nt
Filed under: Pseudomonadota bacterium
Lineage: Bacteria; Pseudomonadati; Pseudomonadota
Description: partial 23S ribosomal RNA
Rfam family: Bacterial large subunit ribosomal RNA
Source: RNAcentral
CUGUAUGGAAGGGCCAUCGCUCAACGGAUAAAAGGUACUCCGGGGAUAACAGGCUGAUACCGCCCAAGAGUUCAUAUCGACGGCGGUGUUUGGCACCUCGAUGUCGGCUCAUCACAUCCUGGGGCUGAAGCCGGUCCCAAGGGUAUGGCUGUUCGCCAUUUAAAGUGGUACGCGAGCUGGGUUUAGAACGUCGUGAGACAGUUCGGUCCCUAUCUGCCGUGGACGUUUGAGAUUUGAGAGGGGCUGCUCCUAGUACGAGAGGACCGGAGUGGACGAACCUCUGGUGUUCCGGUUGUCACGCCAGUGGCAUUGCCGGGUAGCUAUGUUCGGAAUAGAUAACCGCUGAAAGCAUCUAAGCGGGAAACUAGCCUCAAGAUGAGAUCUCACUGGAACCUUGAGUUCCCUGAAGGGCCGUCGAAGACUACGACGUUGAUAGGUUGGGUGUGUAAGCGCUGUGAGGCGUUGAGCUAACCAAUACUAAUUGCCCGUGAGGCUUGACCAU